GCCGAAGUGGUGGAAUUGGUAGACACGCUAUCUUGAGGGGGUAGUGGGCUUACGCUCGUGCCGGUUCAAGUCCGGCCUUCGGCACCA
Molecule: transfer RNA, 87 nt
Filed under: Alloalcanivorax dieselolei
Lineage: Bacteria; Pseudomonadati; Pseudomonadota; Gammaproteobacteria; Oceanospirillales; Alcanivoracaceae
Also listed under: 8 other names
Description: tRNA-Leu
Rfam family: tRNA
About the family: Transfer RNA (tRNA) molecules are approximately 80 nucleotides in length. Their secondary structure includes four short double-helical elements and three loops (D, anti-codon, and T loops). Further hydrogen bonds mediate the characteristic L-shaped molecular structure. tRNAs have two regions of fundamental functional importance: the anti-codon, which is responsible for specific mRNA codon recognition, and the 3' end, to which the tRNAs corresponding amino acid is attached (by aminoacyl-tRNA synthetases). tRNAs cope with the degeneracy of the genetic code in two manners: having more than one tRNA (with a specific anti-codon) for a particular amino acid; and 'wobble' base-pairing, i.e. permitting non-standard base-pairing at the 3rd anti-codon position.
Source: RNAcentral